Molecule: transfer RNA, 74 nt
Filed under: Palpitomonas bilix
Lineage: Eukaryota
Description: tRNA-Ile
Rfam family: tRNA
About the family: Transfer RNA (tRNA) molecules are approximately 80 nucleotides in length. Their secondary structure includes four short double-helical elements and three loops (D, anti-codon, and T loops).
Source: RNAcentral
GGGCUUGUAACUCAGUUGGUUAGAGUAUACGCCUGAUAAGCGUAAAGUCGGUAGUUCAAGUCUACUCAAGCCUA